Molecule: non-coding RNA, 109 nt
Filed under: Longilinea arvoryzae
Lineage: Bacteria; Bacillati; Chloroflexota; Anaerolineae; Anaerolineales; Anaerolineaceae
Description: SAM-I sequence
Rfam family: SAM riboswitch aptamer (S box leader)
About the family: The SAM riboswitch is found upstream of a number of genes which code for proteins involved in methionine or cysteine biosynthesis in Gram-positive bacteria. The SAM riboswitch acts at the level of transcription termination control.
Source: Rfam by way of RNAcentral
CUCUUAUCCAGAGAGGUGGAGGGACCGGCCCGACGAAACCUCGGCAACCUGCUAAACCAAACGGUUUUUCAAGGUGCCAAUUCCGGCAGAAAGUUCUGGAAGAUGAGAG